UACGAAGGGGGCUAGCGUUGCUCGGAAUCACUGGGCGUAAAGCGCACGUAGGCGGCUUUCUAAGUCAGGGGUGAAAUCCUGGAGCUCAACUCCAGAACUGCCUUUGAUACUGGCGAUCUUGAGUCCGGGAGAGGUGAGUGGAACUGCGAGUGUAGAGGUGAAAUUCGUAGAUAUUCGCAAGAACACCAGUGGCGAAGGCGGCUCACUGGCCCGAUACUGACGCUGAGGCACGAAAGCGUGGGGAGCAAACAGG
This 253-nucleotide ribosomal RNA is filed under the name uncultured bacterium. RNAcentral describes it as "partial 16S ribosomal RNA". It matches the Rfam family "Bacterial small subunit ribosomal RNA", at positions 524 to 776 of the family's 1533-position model. The record is from RNAcentral.